GCUGGAUGUGGUACUGCACACCUGAAAUCCCAGCAACUUGGGAGGCUGAGGCAGGAGGAUCACAAGUUCAUGGCCAGCCUAGGCAUCUUAAGCAAGACCCUGUCUCAA
RNAcentral lists this small RNA (108 nucleotides) under Marmota monax (woodchuck). Lineage: Eukaryota; Metazoa; Chordata; Mammalia; Rodentia; Sciuridae. The record is from RNAcentral.